AGAGUUUGAUCAUGGCUCAGAACGAACGCUGGCGGCAGGCUUAACACAUGCAAGUCGAACGCGUGUAGCAAUACACGAGUGGCGCACGGGUGAGUAACGCGUGGAUAUCUGCCUUUUGGUUCGGAAUAACCCCGGGAAACUGGGGCUAAUACCGGAUGGUUCCUACGGGAUAAAGAUUUAUCGCCAAAAGAUGAGUCCGCGUCCGAUUAGCUAGUUGGUGAGGUAACGGCUCACCAAGGCGACGAUCGGUAGCUGGUCUGAGAGGACGAUCAGCCACACUGGGACUGAGACACGGCCCAGACUCCUACGGGAGGCAGCAGUGGGGAAUAUUGGACAGUGGGGGCAACCCUGAUCCAGCCAUGCCGCGUGAGUGAUGAAGGCCUUCGGGUUGUAAAGCUCUUUUGGCGGGGACGAUGAUGACGGUACCCGCAGAAUAAGCCCCGGCUAACUUCGUGCCAGCAGCCGCGGUAAGACGAAGGGGGCUAGCGUUGUUCGGAAUUACUGGGCGUAAAGCGCGUGUAGGCGGUUGUCCAAGUUGGAUGUGAAAGCCUUGAGCUUAACUCAAGAAAUGCAUUCAGGACUGGAUGACUAGAGGACCGGAGAGGAUAGUGGAAUUCCCAGUGUAGUGGUGAAAUACGUAGAGAUUGGGAAGAACACCAGUGGCGAAGGCGGCUAUCUGGACGGUUUCUGACGCUAAGACGCGAAAGCGUGGGGAGCAAACAGGAUUAGAUACCCUAGUAGUCC
This 744-nucleotide ribosomal RNA is filed under the name uncultured bacterium. Its description in RNAcentral is "bacterial SSU rRNA". It matches the Rfam family "Bacterial small subunit ribosomal RNA", at positions 8 to 796 of the family's 1533-position model. The record is from RNAcentral.